Molecule: ribosomal RNA, 492 nt
Filed under: uncultured bacterium
Lineage: Bacteria
Description: partial 16S ribosomal RNA
Rfam family: Bacterial small subunit ribosomal RNA
Source: RNAcentral
AGUGAACGCUGGCGGUAGGCCUAACACAUGCAAGUCGAACGGCAGCACAGUAAGAGCUUGCUCUUACGGGUGGCGAGUGGCGGACGGGUGAGGAAUACAUCGGAAUCUACUUUUUCGUGGGGGAUAACGUAGGGAAACUUACGCUAAUACCGCAUACGACCUACGGGUGAAAGCAGGGGAUCUUCGGACCUUGCGCGAUUGAAUGAGCCAAUGUCGGAUUAGCUAGUUGGCGGGGUAAAGGCCCACCAAGGCGACGAUCCGUAGCUGGUCUGAGAGGAUGAUCAGCCACACUGGAACUGAGACACGGUCCAGACUCCUACGGGAGGCAGCAGUGGGGAAUAUUGGACAAUGGGCGCAAGCCUGAUCCAGCCAUACCGCGUGGGUGAAGAAGGCCUUCGGGUCGUAAAGCCCUUUUGUUGGGAAAGAAAAGCAGCAGGUUAAUACCCCGCUGUUCUGACGGUACCAAAAGAAUAAGCACCGGCUAACUUCGUG